GAGAGUAAAGGGGCAAAGAUGAAUCCAAGAUGUUAAAUCUACCUGACUCAGAGAACAGUAGUGAUCUCAGCAGAAAUGAGAGAAGUUAGAAGAAAGGGAAGUUUUAAAGGAGAAAAUAAUAAGUUCAUUUUUGGAUAUUGAAUUCAAGGUAUAGCUGGAACUUACAGGUGACACAAAGCAGACACAAUGAUUGACAGUGCCAAGAACCAUGAAGAUCUUAAUGAGAAGGUAAACAGUUUAUUUGAGUGUCUGGAGAGCAGAGUAGGAGGUGGCGAAUGAGACAAAUGCUCACCUUGGACUGGGCGAAAUAAGAAGAUAAGACAGCAGUU
Phascolarctos cinereus (koala) is the source of this 329-nucleotide non-coding RNA. The record is from RefSeq and is a predicted model, not a curated record. Lineage: Eukaryota; Metazoa; Chordata; Mammalia; Diprotodontia; Phascolarctidae.